UGAGCAAUCUGCCCUUCUCAUCGGAAUAAGCGUUGGAAACGACGUCUAAUGCCGAAUACGACCUCCUUUCGCAUGAUCGGAGGUGGAAAGCUCCGGCGGUGAAGGAUGAGCUCGCGGCCUAUCAGCUAGUUGGUGUGGGUAAUGGCCCACCAAGGCGACGG
Molecule: ribosomal RNA, 161 nt
Filed under: uncultured bacterium
Lineage: Bacteria
Description: partial 16S ribosomal RNA
Rfam family: Bacterial small subunit ribosomal RNA
Source: RNAcentral